CUCCCAAAGUGCUGGGAUUGCAUGUGUGAGCCACCACAGCUGGCCUGAAUAAUAUUUCUUAAUUUCAGUAUGUUCAACCAACCUUGCAUUUCAGAGAUGAAGCCUACCUGAUUCUGGUGGAUAAGUUUUUUCAUUUGCUGCUGAAUUUGGUUUGCCAGUAUUUUGUUGAAAUUUUUUGCAUCACUGUUCAUCAAAGAUACUUACCUGAAGCUUUCUUUUUUUGUUGUACUCUGUUGGGUUUUGGUGUGAAGAUUGUCCUGGCCUCAUAGAAUGAGUUAGGGAGAAGUCCCUUCUCCUCAAUUGUUUUUUUGUUUUUGUUUUUGUUUUUUUGAGACAAAACAAAACUCUUGUCACCCAGGCUGGAGUGGAAUGGUGUGAUUUCAGCUCACUGUAACCUCCGCCUCCCGGGUUCAAGUGAUUCUUCUGCCUCAGCCUCUUACAGGCACACGCCACUAGGCCCAGCUAAUUUUGUAUUUUUAGUAGAUACAGGACUUCGCCCUGUUAGCCAGGCUGUUCUCGAACUCCUGAUCUCAGGUGAUCCACUCGCCUUGGCCUCCCAAAGUGCUAGGAUUACAGGCAUGAGCCACUGCGCCCAGCCUGUCGUUAAUUUUUUGAAAGAAUUUCAGUAGAAACUGUACCAGCUCUUCUUUUUACAUCUGGUGGAAUUCAACUGUGAAUCUUUCUUCCCAUGGGGACUCAGGGACCAUCCUGUGUCAUCUUCUGAGGGCCCGGAAGGGGUUUGCCUGUGGGCUUUCUAAUUGCCGGAAGGGACGGCAUGCUGCAUGGUGGGUGCCCCUGCUGUGGGUUAGGGGGUACCCCUGCUUGGCAUCCCGCCCCUCUGGUUCCUGCUUCCCCCCCUCAUUCUUGGGGGUGGGGGUGGUGGCAGCUUGAUCCCCGGGCUGGGACAGGGCUGGGGGAGCCUGGUGUGGAUGGCUGAGGCACUGGUGUCUGGGGAUGUGGCCCAGCAGGCUCCAUCCCAGGUAAGGCCCUGAGGGCCCAGAGGUAGCCGUCUUGGUCCCAGCCCUCUCCCACCCCAGGGGUAGGGUGGUCACUAAGGGGCAGUCCCUGCACUUGAGCCCUUCCUCCUCUUUCCACCACCUACGGUUGAUCAACAGACGGGGUCAGGGGCAUGGUGGGAAGGAAGGUUGGCAACUUAGAUACCAGAGGAACAGCUUCAGGCCACGAGCGCCUCCCUUGGCCUGUAGGGUGGACCCGCUGUGCCUCUGCCAGUUGGCUUUUCCUUCUGUCUGCCAGGUCCACCAGAUGUUUGCCAAGAGUGUAGGACUUGGCCACCAGCUUGAAGUGUUUCAGGUGGACCAGAGGGCUCUCGCCGGGGUCAGAACUGCUUAGAUCCAGCAGAGGGUGCGAUUGUGGCUCACUGCUACCUCCAUCUUCCCAGGCUUACCGAGGCGAUCCUCCCAUUUUGGUCUCCCAAGUGGCUGCGGCUCUGGGGAUCUUUCUGUUUUGUUUUGUUUUGUUUUUUUCCCUAGGCCCACUUCAAGUUUGUUUCCACAGUACAUUGAAUUGCUGUUUUUUUUUUCUUUCUUUUCUCUCUGUUAUGCUCCUUCCUGCAUACUGAAGUUCCUGUUAUUUUAGAUUUUUUCUUUUCUUUUUUUUUUUUAAAUCAGGCUUUGGCUCCCAAAGUGCUGGAAUUACAGGUGUGAGCCACCAUGCCUGGCUCUAUCUAUCUAUCUAUCUAUCUAUCUAUCUAUCUGUCUAUCUGUCUAUCUAUCUGUGGGCACUCUAUAGAUAGGUAGGUAGGUAGGUGGUAGGUAGGUAGGUAGAAAAUAAAUAAGUUUUCAUUUAUUUAUUUAUUUAUUUUGAGAUGGAAUUUCACUCUUGUCACCCAGGCUGGGCACCAUCUCCAGUCACUGCAACCACCGCUUCCUGGGUUCAAGCAAUUCUCCAUCCUCAGCCUCCCAAGUAUCUGGGAUUACAGGCGUGUGCCACCACACCCAGCUAACUUUUGUAUUUUUAGUAGAAAUGGGGUUUCAACAUGUUGACCAGGCUGAUCUCGAACUCCUGACCUCAGGUGAUCCACCCACCUCGGCCUCCCAGAGUGCUGGGAUUACAGUCGUGAGCCAAGGAGCCCGGCCUAUCUAUUUUUUUAGUAGAGAUGUGGUCUCACUAUGUUGUCCAGGCUUUGGUUAUAUAUAUUACUCUUUUAACUUUGUCAUUUUUCAUUAGAGAUGUCUCACAAUGUUGCCCCCAGUAUCGUAUCAAACUCCUUGGCUCCAUCUAUCCUCCCGAUUUGGCCUCCCAAAGUGCUGGGAUUACAGGCAUGAGCCACCGUGCCUCAUCUGGUUAUAUUUUUGAUGUGUUGACUCUUUCCAGUUCAGAUGCAUAAUCUCAUCCCUGAACAUCCUGCUGGUGCGAUUAUGACAUAUGAUUUUACCCAGCACCAGAGGGAUUUGAUGCUCCUGCCUGGGCCCAACUCACAGAAGGGAUUGUGACAUAUCACUGGACCCAGCACUGAGGGGACAUUGUGUAAUAUCGUUGGGCCUCACACGUACGUUAUGUGACUCUCCUGCGUGUGCCCUGUCCAUGUGGGCCAUUGUGACAUAUUGCUGGGUCCAACAACUGGUUGAUGUAGCUCUACUGCCUAGGUCCUGCCUAUGGAGGACUUUGUGAUGUAUCCCUGAACCCAUCACACAGAUUCUGCCCUCAGAGGACAUUGUGACAUGUCACUGGGCCUAAUACUAAGAUGACAUCAUUCUUUAGUUUUGGCACUGCCCUCAGAAGCCGUGGUGGUGUAUUGCUGGGCCCAGAGCCAAUGUGAUGUGAGUCUCCUGCCUGGAUCCUGCCUACAAGGUUAUGUGAAUCCUCUUCUUCCCAGAUCCUGCCAAAAGGAAAGAUUGUGACAUAUCACUGGAACCAGCACUUAGGCUAUUGUGACAUAUGCCUGAGGCUAACACCCAGAUGAUAUAAGUCUUCAUCCUGGACCCUGUCUACAGAAGUCAUUGCGAUAUAUGUCUUCACCAAUCACUGAGGUCGAACGCCCAGUGAUGUGACUCUCCUUCCUGGUCCAUGCCCUCAGGGAAGAUUGUGACAUACCCCGGCCCAGCACACAGUUAAUGUCACUCUUGUGCUUGCUGUCUACCCAUGGGUAGGAUUGUGACAUAUAUCGUGGCCAAGCACAAAGAUGUAAUGACUGUCAUACCUCGAAGAAAGCAAUAGAGUUAAUGUUGCUCCUAGGUAGGCUUAGGAAAAUGAGGAAGUCGUCUUUCUGUUCAAAUCUCACUCUCUGACAUAUAUAAAGCCCUAGUGUGUUACAGAGAAUGUCAUAACAGGGCUCCUCACACAGGUGAGAUCGUGUUCUAUACACAGCCCACCAAUCUUGAGAAUUGUCACCCUCACACAUGGACAGAGUCCACUGGUGAAGUCCUGAAUCACACAUGAAUGCAGUUCACAAUUGGAAUUGUGACUGUCAUCAUUGAACAUCUAGCCACAAUUUGGAUGGUGAUUCUUUUUUUUUUUUUUUUUUUUUUUUUUUUUUUUUUUUUUUUUUUGAGACAGAAUCUUGCUCUGUCACCCAGGCUGGAGUGCAGUGAUGCAAUCUUGGCUCACUGCAACCUCUGCCUCCUGGGUUCAAGCGAUUCUCCUGCCUCAUCCCCCUGAGUAGCUGUGAUUCCAGGCACCCGCCACCAAGCCCAGCUAAUUUUUGUAUUUUAAGUAGAGACAGGGUUUCACCAUGUUGGCCAGGCUGGUCUCGAAGUCCUGACCUCGUGAUCUGCCCACCUCAGCCUCCCAAAGUGCUGGGAUUACAGGUGUGAACCACCAUGCCCGGCAGUGAUUCAUUUCUAAACCCAGCUUGUUAAAAGGUGAGGACUCUCCUAUCUGGACUAAACCAAUAGUUUAGUUUAGUUAGGAUAGAUGUUGAUGCUCAUAUCUGGGCUUGGAACCACAGGAAAGAUCUUCUUGGACAAAGGUCACAGAGGAUUACCACUCUUGCAUAUUGUAUAAAUCAUCAAGUGAAACUAUCAUAAGAGAACAUAGCACAUGCGUGAGAUUUUGUCUUUUGAAUGUACACCCAGGCAACAGUAAAGAUUGUCAUUCUCCCAUAUUGAGGUUCUGAAUGUCAGACACAGAGACUGUGAAAAGUUGAAUAAUUGACUCUCACGUGGAUCUGGACUAGAGGUGGACUGGUGACUCUCAGAGCAAGAUUCAGCACACAUAAGAGUCUGUGACUUCACUGAAAGGACAAGCCUGCAGAAGAAAUUGUGGCUUUCCUGCCCACAUUCUGUCAACCAUUGAUAUUGUGACUCACAUACUUAGACCCAACGUACAGAAAGUGUUGACUCAUACCUAGCACCUGGACAUAUAUGGAAUUUCUACUCUAAUUCCUGGACUUUUCUGCAGGUGUGAUUGUAUGCAUCUGCUACCCACCUUAGUGAUUUGACUUUGCUGCCUUGGCCCAGCCCACAGAUGAGAUUGUGACAUAUCGCUUGACUCUGCACCUUGAUGGUGCAAUCUCCGCUCACUGCAACCUCUGCCUCCCAGGUUCAAGUGAUUCUUCUGCCUCAGCCUCCUGAGGAGCUGGGAGUACAGGCAUGCACCACCACACCCAACUAGUUUUUGUAUUUUUAGUAGAGACGGGGUUUCACCAUGUUGGUCAGGCUGGUCUCGAACUCCUGACCUCGUGUUCUGCCCGCCUCAGCCUCCCAAAGUCCUGGGAUUACAGGUAUGAGCCACCAUGCCCGGCCUCGCUGGGCCUUUCACCCAGAUGAUGUGAGUUAUUUUUCUUGCAUUGGUACUGCUCACAGGGUGCAUUGUGACAUAUUUCUAAGCCCUUCACUCAGGUUAUGUGACUACUUUUUUGCCUGUGCCCUAACUAUUUUGCAUGUUAGGACAUAUUAUGAGGCCCAACACCUGUAAAAUAGAGGCUCCUCCCUGGGCCUUGUCUACAGAGGGCCUUGUGACAUAUCUCUGCAUCAGUCACCUAGGAAAUGUGACUCCGUUUUUGCCUGCACUCUGUCCACAGGAAACAUUGUGACUUAUCACUAGGCCCAGGUACUAGUUGAUGUGUCUCUGGUAACUGGGCCUUGACCACAGAGAGGAUUGUUACCUAUUGCUGGGCUCAGCCCCCAUGUGGUGUGACUGUACUGUCUGUGUCCUGCUUUCAGGAGAAGGCUGUAACAUAUUCCUGGUUGAGUAUUCAGGUGAUGUGACACUCCUGUUUGGUCCCUGCCUUCAGAAAAGAUUGUGAUGUACUCCUGGCCAAAAACCCAGGUGAUGUGACUCUUAUCUCUCCCUAUUCACAGGUAAGAUUGUAAAAUGCCUUGGUCUAGCUCACAGGUGUGAUGAUGUUGAUCCUUUUUUUUUUUUUAUUUUAUUUAUUUUUUUUAUUUUUGGAGAUGGAGUUGCUCUGUCGCCCAGGCUGGAGUGCAGUGGUGUGAUCUCAGCUCACUGCAACCUCCACCUCCUGGGUUCUAGGGAUUCUCCUGCCUCAGCCUCCCAAGUAGCUGGGAUUACAGGUGCACACCACCAAUCCCGGCUAAUUUUUGUAUUUUCCGUAGAGACAUGGUUUCAGCAUGUUGGCCAGGCUGGUCUCGAGCUCCGUACUUCAAGUGAUCUGCCUGCCUCAGCCUCGCAAAGUUCUGGGAUUACAGGCAUGAGCCACCGUGCCCGGCCACAAGUGUGGUGGUGACUCUCAUACCUCAAACCAGCCAAUAGGAGAGAUCCUGUUUCUUAUAGCUAGGCUUAAAAUCAUGAGUAUGGUCAUGGGUCUUCUUGUACGAAGGUCCUAGAGAAAUACCACUUUCUUUUAUACUAUAUAAAUCUCUUACUGUACAGAGAUUGCCAUUCCAGCGUUCAGAACACAGGUGAGAUUGUGUUUCUCAUAUGCAUACCCCAGCAAACAUUAAAAUUGUCAUCUUCACACAUGGACAGGGUCCACUGGUAAGUCCUGAAUCUCACACAUGGAAAAAAUCCACAGUUGAAAUUGUGACUGUCAUAUAUGAACAUCCGGCCAGAGUUGAAAUCAUGAGUCAUUUCUAAAUUCAGUUUAUAGGCAAGUGAGAAUUUUUCUAUCUGAACCUGAGAGAAUAAAAGGUGGUUUUGAAUUAGACAAAAUAGAGCUAAAAGUUCAAACAAAUGGUGGAAGGAUUGUAAAAAUCUUGCAAAGAAUUCCAUGUGUGGUUAUAUUGACUAAAUUCAAAAAGGUACUACAUGGUUUUUCUGUAAAUAAAAAAUUGAAAUAAAAGCACAACAAGGUACUCGUAAUGCACUAAUCUGCUUUUUAGCAAACUUUGUUAACGGUUAUAACAGAUUGUUGCUUCUUUAAAAUUUUGGAGUCAUUGUAACAAAAUAAAUAAUUUAGGAUAAUCUGAAAUUCUAUUUUAUAACAUCAAGUGUUUCAAAUCUCUAACACUUAACAUGCUUCCCAAAAUCAUACUUUAGUUUCAAAAUUGCCUUUCCUGAUUCCUGGCUUUUGGAUACUUCAGAGGGUCCCUGGAGUAUCUAAAAGAGAGGUAAACAGAAUUAUUUGACAUGUUUAGGUACAUGAGAUUGGCAAAAUGGUGUUUAUUCCAUCUUUAGGUUAUAUUUUGGUGAAUAAUACUAAUAUAUGUUCCAAAAUUGUUUGGGAUUUCUAAAAUUCUAAUAUAUGGUAUCAAUGGUAAUUAAGGUUGUUAUGUUAAGUUAUUGUAAACCACAGAGAUAGCCAAACUUCUUUGUCAAUUGUGUUUCUAACUGUAACUAACCUGGACAUUUUGUUAUUCACAGACAAGUGUUGUCUUGUCUUAAUUAUUUUUAAAAGAUGGUUUAUAUUAAACUAUAGAACUUUCACAGGUGCUUUCAAAUACAGGUUUCUGAUAGCCUUGGAGAUUGUGACAUUGGAAUAAAGGAAAAAAGGACAGGAUUCAGGGCCGGGUGUGGUGGCUUACACCUGUAAUCCCAGCACUUUGGGAGGCCAAGGCAGGUGGAUCACGAGUUCAGAUCGAGACCAUCCUGGCUAACACGGUGAAACCCAGACUCUACUAAAAAUACAAAAAAUUAGCAUGGUGGCUGGCACCUCUAGUCUCAGCUACUCGGGAGGCUGAGGCAGGAGAAUCGCUUGAACCUGGGAGGCGGAGGUUGCAGUGAGCUGAGAUCACACCACUGCACUUUAGCCUGGGCGACAGAGAGAGACUCCAUCUCAAAAAAAAAAAAAAAAAAAAUGCACAGGACUCAUGAGGAGCUAAAAUGUUCACAAAUAUCAAGCAAAACAAGAGUUAAGUAAAUGGACUGCACUCAGAAAACUAAAGCAACCUUUUUGACUUUUGCUUGGUAUAUUGCUGAUCCUUGUUUAAUUUUUUAGAGUCAAGGAAACUUGUUUUUAACUACUAUUUAUGGCCUUCAAUAAUUGAGUAAAGUAUACUCCUAUGAACAAAAUUAGGAAUAUGUUUGUUUUUCUCUGCCUCUUUCCUCUAGAAUUUGGAAACUAUCUGUGAGUAUUCUCAACUUAUGGCAAUAUAGUUGUUUGUAUGAGUGCAAUAAGAAUCCAUUUUCUUUAGCAACAGGAUGCAACUGGAGAAACUGUUUGUUUGUUUGUUUUAACCAAGGCUUUGACUGAAAGGGUAUGCUUCCCUUUAAAGAGUCAAGCUUGACUUGCAGAGAUGAUAAAAGCCCCUUGAAAAAACUGCCCUCAUAUCCUUGUCUACACAGUCUCUGUACAGCGUUCCUGACCUGUGGUCAGUGAAAAAUAUCACUUUUUAACAGGCCUAGGAGCUCCAAGUUUGUCUUGGGACCUUAAAAGGAAAGGAUUACCCAGCUCACAGGUAUUUGAGGAUACAAACACAUGGCUGUGCUCAGCUUUAGAAGGUCUUAUUCCUUGUGGAAGAUUUCCAUCGAAGCCAAUCUAAAAGGCCUAUGUAGAGAUAGUCAUUUUUGCUCACCUUAUGCAAAUAAUCAGGGCGAGUAUAGGACUAAAGGCUAUGUUGCAAACAACUCAGUCCUGUUAUGAUUUUUUCUUUUCUUUUUUUUUUUUUUUUUUAGAUGGAGUCUCGCUCUGUCACCCAGGCUGGAGUGCAGUGGCACAAUCUCGGCUCACUGCAUCCUCCACCUCCCAGGUUCAAGCAAUUCUCUGCCUCAGCCUCUUGGGUAGCUGGGAUUACAGGUGCCCGCCACCAUGCCCUGCUAAUUUUUGUAUUUUUAGUACAGACAGGAUUUAGCCAUCUUGGCCAGCUGCUCCUAAACUCCUGACCUCAUGAUCCACCCACUUCGGCCUCCAAAGUGCUGGGAUUACAGGCGUGAGCUACCAUGCCUGGCCAGAACCCAAUAUUUUCUACAAUAUUUUAUACAUUUCUUUCUACAUGGAUUAUAUAAAUUGGGCUUUCCAGCAGAAAAAGGAAAAGAAAAAGCAUAUGUCUCAAUGAGAGCACACAAUUAUGAGAAUGGCAACCAUGUAAAGAAAAAUUGCAAGGACUUAGUGCUGAUGAGGAUUUACAGCAACUAAAACUAGAAAUGUAAAAUGAUACAGUAAAACAAUUUAACGGUUUAUUGUAAUGUUAUAUAUACAUUUAUCAUAUUACCAGGAUAUCCACUCCUAGGUCAUUACUAAAGCAAAGUGAAAACUAAUGUUGAAAUGCAAACCUUUUUGUGGCUGUGUAUUGCUAACUUUAUUUUCAAUUGCAAAAAGCUAGGUAUAAACCAGUUGCUUUAUAGCAGUUGAAUAAACUGUGGUGCAUCCAUAAAAUAGCAUCCUAGUUGUCAACAACAACAAAAAACAAAUUAUUGAUCUACGCCACAGUAUGCAUGAGUCAGACAUGCAUUUCCUUCAGUGAAGGAAGUAAGAUCCAAAAGGCUACAUAUUACAUGAUCCAAUUAUAUGGCAUUGUAGAAAAAGAAAGUUAUAGAGAUUGAUUAUAAUCAAGCUAGGCUUGAUAGCUCAAACCUAUAAUCUCAGCAUGUUGGGAGGCUGAGGUGAGAGAGUUGUUUGAGUCAGGGAUUUUAAGAGCAGCCUGAGCAAUAUAACAAGACCUUCCUAAAAAAAAGAAGAAGAAAGCAGAAGGAGAAGGAGAAGGGGAGAUGGAGAAAUAGAAGGAGGAGGAGAAAAGGAAGGGGAAGAAAAAAGAGGAGGAGGAAGGAAAAGCAGGAGGAAGAGGAGAAAGAAUAACAAAAAGUAGUAGUAGUUAGGACGAUGAAACAGUUCUGUGUGGUACUCUGAAGAUGGGUAUGUGACUCUAGACAGUUGUCAAAUCUUAUGAAACUGAACAUCACAGAGAAUAAAUUUUCCUCUGCAAAACAACACAAAACAAAAAAAAUACAUUGAUUUGGAGUAUAUUUAGAUACAAUGUAGAAAAUUUUAAAAGGAGCUUAACCUAAUAGAAAUGUAUUACCUAACCCUAUUAAAGAGGGUUGGAAUGAGGCCAGGCAUGGUUGCUCAUGCCUGUAAUCCCAGCAUUUUGGGAGGCCGAGGCAGGUGGAUCACCUGAGGUCGAGAAUUUGAGACUAGCCUGACCAACAUGGAGAAACCCCAUCUCUACAAAAAACACAAAAUUAGCUGGGUAUGGUGGCACAUGCCUGUAAUCCCAGCUCCUCGGGAGGUUGAGGCAGGAGAAUCACUUGAACCCAGAGGUGUAUGUUAUGAAGAGCCAAGAUCGUGCCAUUGCACUCCAGCCUGGGCCACGAGAGCGAGAACUGCGUCUCAAAAAAAAAAAAAAAAAAGGUUGGAAUGAAAGGUCUUAAUUUAAAUCACUUUGAAAAACAGUGUUUUGAUUGAAUACUGCAAGAGUCAAAAACUAUACACAAACUGUAUUCUUGUUGUUUUUUCAUAAGCAUAUGAAUUAGCAAUUUUUAAAACUAUAUGUUGGCAUAUACACACACGCAUAGUAAUUACUGCCUGUUUUUUGAACUUGAAAAAUGUUAGCAUCAAAGGGAGAAUUUUAGAAUAAAUGAUGUGAUGCUGGA
RNA transcript from Homo sapiens (human), 9888 nucleotides. It is a transcript of the gene named zinc finger protein 730, with no coding region annotated. The transcript is spliced from 5 exons. The record is from RefSeq and is marked validated. NCBI's taxonomy places the organism in Eukaryota, Metazoa, Chordata, Mammalia, Primates, Hominidae.